Sycon ciliatum is the source of this 534-nucleotide long non-coding RNA. RefSeq lists it as uncharacterized. The transcript has 3 exons. The record is from RefSeq and is a predicted model, not a curated record. NCBI's taxonomy places the organism in Eukaryota, Metazoa, Porifera, Calcarea, Leucosolenida, Sycettidae.
UGUAAUGCGGUUGGUCUAUUUGCCAUUUAAUACUUGCUGACAGUACUAACCUGUGUCACAGUUUGUCUACAGCUCUGGCCCCUGGCCCUGAUGCAAGUUUAUACUUUCACUGGUGUGCCGGUUCACGGUGUGCAUUCAGUGUUGGUUCAUGCAGGUCCAUCUCGUGCUGUGAUACAAGUCGGAGCUCAUGGCGAUGUUCCAAGCCACAACAUACACGCCUUCCAUAUUCAAGUUCCUGUGAAAAGCCCUUUUUCGCCGGCUGCAGCAUGCAGUACCAGUACAGCUGCACAUCUUGCUGAAUGCGGCCGGCGGCCAGGCUAUCCUGUAUCCAGGUCACCCACGCACUCGGACCGGAGUCUGGUCAUCUCUGAGUCUGAAGGGUCACACAUUGACCCACUGCAAGGGUGAAUAGCUAAGCGCCUAAGCCACAGUGGGUGAUCGUGAGACAUCACGUUUCCAGACAGGGGUGUGAGCCCGCCUCUCGGCACCGGAAGUACAGCUCGCUCGACUCGACUCUAGCUCUACUCUCAGUCA